GCAACAAAAAGAGUCAACAAAUAUUGAAAUUACGGCUUAUUUUAAUCGAAAAAAUGAUACAUCACGUUUCGAAUAGAUCAUCAAAUCAAAAUAUACCAAUUUGAGCUUAUCAAAAGUGUUCGAUUCGAUGUGAGCUUUUCAUGUCCGCCCACUUCACCAACGACCCUCAUUGUUUUAAGUGAACUAAUCAAGUAGAAAAAGAAAAUGGAAUACAUAUCAUUAAUAAUUGUUGGGUUUUGUAUGAUAAAUGAGGUUUUUUUAUUACCGGAGGUGAUAAGAAUUGGUGGUUUAUUUCAUCCCGCGGAUGAUAGACAAGAAAUCGCGUUUCGAUACGCAGUUGAAAAGAUAAAUAACGAUCGUACGAUUUUGCCACGUUCGAAAUUGAGUGCCCAAAUCGAAAGGAUGUCGCCUCAAGAUAGUUUUCACGCGUCAAAAAAAGUCUGUCAUCUUUUAAGAAGUGGUGUUGCUGCUAUUUUUGGUCCACAAUCGGCGCACACCGCCAGCCACGUACAAUCAAUUUGCGAUACGAUGGAAAUUCCACAUUUGGAAACGCGUUGGGAUUACCGUUUAAGAAGGGAGAGUUGUUUGGUUAAUUUAUAUCCACAUCCGACGACGUUAUCAAAAGCUUACGUUGAUUUAGUUAAAGCAUGGGGUUGGAAAUCUUUUACGAUAAUUUACGAGAACAACGAAGGUUUAGUUCGUUUACAAGAACUUUUAAAAGCUCAUGGGCCGUAUGAAUUUCCUAUAACCGUGAGACAAUUAGGUGAAGGAUCCGAUUACAGACCUCUUUUGAAGCAAAUUAAAAAUUCGGCCGAAUCUCAUGUUGUAUUAGAUUGCUCGACCGAUAGAAUUUAUGAUGUCUUAAAACAGGCUCAACAAAUCGGAAUGAUGAGCGAUUAUCACAGCUACUUAAUCACCUCUUUAGAUUUGCAUUGUGUCGAUUUAGAAGAGUUUAAAUAUGGAGGCACAAACAUCACCGCCUUUAGAUUGGUCGAUCCGGAAGGUUCGGAUGUUAGAUCGAUCGUUAAAGAUUGGUCUUUACCUACUGAUAAUCGAAAUAAAAAAUCCGAUUUGGAUAACAACACAUUUGUAAAAGCGGAAACGGCAUUAAUGUACGACGCCGUCCAUUUAUUCGCAAAAGCUCUCCAUGAUUUAGACACUAGCCAACAAAUCGACAUCAAACCGUUAAGUUGUGAUGCGGUGGAUACUUGGCCUCACGGAUACAGUCUUAUAAAUUACAUGAAAAUUGUUGAAAUGCGUGGAUUAACUGGUGUAAUUAAAUUCGAUCACCAAGGGUUUCGUAGCGAUUUCGCCUUGGACAUCAUUGAAUUGAAUCGGGAAGGUUUAAAGAAAAUCGGGACGUGGAAUUCAACGGAAGGGGUUAAUUUCACAAGAACAUACGGGGAGGUUUAUACACAAAUUGUUGAGAUUAUUCAAAAUAAAACGUUUGUUGUCACAACAAUUUUGAGUUCUCCUUAUUGUAUGAGAAAAGAUUCAAGUGAACAAUUAACCGGUAAUGCUCAAUACGAAGGUUAUGCAGUUGAUUUAAUCCACGAAAUAUCCCGAGUGUUGGGUUUUAAUUACACCAUAAGAUUAGCUCCGGAUGGACGUUACGGUUCGUUAAAUAGACAAACCAAAGAAUGGGAUGGUAUGAUUAGGGAGUUAUUGGAUCAAAAAGCCGAUUUAGCUAUAGCUGAUUUAACGAUAACUUACGAUAGGGAGCAAGCUGUUGAUUUUACAAUGCCUUUUAUGAAUUUGGGAAUCAGUAUUCUUUAUAGGAAACCGAUUAAGCAACCGCCGAAUUUAUUUUCUUUUUUAUCACCGCUUUCGUUGGACGUUUGGAUCUAUAUGGCAACAGCGUAUCUGGGAGUUUCCGUUUUACUCUUUAUUUUGGCGAGGUUCACGCCGUACGAAUGGCAAAAUCCGCAUCCUUGUAACCCGAAUCCGGACCACUUAGAGAACCAAUUCACCCUCUUCAAUUGUAUGUGGUUCGCCAUCGGGUCCCUAAUGCAACAAGGAUGCGAUUUCUUACCGAAAGCUGUUUCCACGCGAAUGGUCGCCGGAAUGUGGUGGUUUUUCACGUUAAUAAUGAUCUCAUCGUACACGGCUAACCUCGCUGCUUUUUUAACGGUCGAACGGAUGGAUUCGCCGAUAGAAAGCGCGGAAGAUUUAGCGAAACAAACUCGAAUUAAAUACGGAGCUUUGAGGGACGGCUCGACGGCCGCUUUUUUCCGCGAUUCAAAUUUCUCAACGUAUCAACGGAUGUGGUCGUUUAUGGAAUCGGCCAAACCGACGGUUUUCACGUCGAGCAAUAAAGAGGGCGUGGAAAAAGUCGUUAAGGGAAAAGGAAGUUACGCUUUUCUUAUGGAGUCGACGUCGAUUGAGUAUGUUAUCGAAAGAAAUUGUGAGUUAACCCAAGUCGGUGGGAUGUUGGAUUCGAAGGGAUAUGGAAUAGCUAUGCCACCAAAUUCUCCAUUUAGAACGGCUAUAAGUGGAGCGAUUUUAAAAUUACAAGAAGAAGGAAAAUUGCAUAUAUUAAAAACGAGAUGGUGGAAAGAAAAGAGAGGUGGAGGAGCUUGUAGGGAUGAAACGACAAAAACGAGUAGUACAGCGAACGAAUUGGGUUUGGCGAAUGUCGGUGGUGUUUUCGUGGUGUUAAUGGGUGGAAUGGGGGUGGCUUGUGUGAUCGCUGUGUGCGAGUUCGUUUGGAAGUCGAGGAAGGUUGCAGUUGAGGAACGGGUGAGCAGCAUUCUGCACGAUACAUAGCUGUGAAUUAACGAGAUUUUAUAUCGCAUUAUAAAAUUACGAUUCGCCCCUCAAUUUUACUUAGAUCGUUUUCCUAAUGGCAAAGAAACGGAGAAUGGGCGACUCUUGAACCACAAAAAAAAAAUAGGUUAAACAAUAAUUAAAAGUAGAUAAUAAGAUAAUAAUUACAAUGAUAAUUAAUCUUUCUCCGUCUAAUCUGUGUGUGAAAAUCGUAAAAAUGACAAUAUUUCUUUUGAGAUUAUGUUAAAUAUAUAUACGAUCUGUUUUCAUGUUUCAAAAAAAUCUUGGAAAAGUAGAAGAUAUCAUUAUGUGCUGAAAUGGCGUCAGAAUUGAGGACUGCGUUAAAAUGUCAACAUUCAACUAAACAAUCACAAAAUUGUGC
This 3148-nucleotide unclassified non-coding RNA is filed under the name Onthophagus taurus. RNAcentral describes it as "glutamate receptor ionotropic, kainate 2, transcript variant X2". The record is from RNAcentral. Lineage: Eukaryota; Metazoa; Arthropoda; Insecta; Coleoptera; Scarabaeidae.